This 846-nucleotide long non-coding RNA is filed under the name Gallus gallus (chicken). RNAcentral describes it as "long non-coding RNA NONGGAT008004". Lineage: Eukaryota; Metazoa; Chordata; Aves; Galliformes; Phasianidae. The record is from RNAcentral.
GGAGCCGCCUGAAGCAGCAGCCGGCCCUAUUCCUGCCCGUUUCUCUCACUCCCUACGACUGUGCUGCUGCAGGCUGCUCCCUUCAGCUCCUGCAAUUAGCGUUCGGUUCACCCCACGCGAUCCAACCGCCUCGCCAACCUCCCGGCCUGUGCCGCCGCCCCAAGCCGAGCCCGCUCGUCAGUUCGCACCUGCGGCCGUUAGGCACGAGCAGCGCAGCUCAGCUCAGCUCAGCUCACAGGUGCCGUUCCCGCCGCCGCAGGGCAGCGCAGCUCUGCUGUAACCGCCGUGUGCGGGCGGCUGCAGUGCCGCGUCCCUCCGCCGCGAGGGGCGCGCGCUCCGCCCGCCGCCGAGCAUCAGCCCCGCGCUGUGGGGAGGAGGAGGAGGAGAAGGAGAAGGAGGAGCAGGAGCGGCCCGGCCGCGGGCUCGGUGCCGCCUCGGAGGCCGGGGGUGGUGGCGACGGCGGAGCCAUGGCCGGUCCCGCCCCGAGGCGCUGAGGCAAAGAUCUGAUAUGCUGGCUUCUCAGCAGCCUCGGUGCCCGAAGUAGCACGUUGAACACUUCAGAGAGGAGUGGAUGUGAACUGCCCUAUGGAUAACAUCUUGGGUUCCUCUGCACAUACGUAGAAUAAACAAAACAGAAGCCCUGAAGUCGCAGAAUAAAGUGCUCUGAAAGGCAGAAAGAAUACAGUAUACACAGCUGGAGUUGUUUUGGAAGCUGUAUCCAUCCAGGGUUGAAAGGAAGAUGGGGAUAUAAUUCAGCAGUUACUUCUGGAGCAGCUGUUGUUCAUCUGGCUGACGGAGGGACCAGGAAAAAAGGUAAUCAACGUAUCACCUAAACAUUUGUGUCUG